Molecule: long non-coding RNA, 378 nt
Organism: Hyalella azteca
Lineage: Eukaryota; Metazoa; Arthropoda; Malacostraca; Amphipoda; Hyalellidae
Exons: 3
Source: RefSeq, a predicted model, not a curated record
GUUCCUCAACAGCUACCGACAACAUGUUCCGCCUCGUCUUCGCCACGUUGCUGCUCUGCGCCGUCGCCCUCGCGGCUCCAGGCUAUGGAGGAUUUGGAGGAUUUGGCCACGGUGGCUUCGGUGGUUUCGGACAUGGCAUCGGAUUUGGAAAAUUUGUUGGUGGAUAUGGACAUGGCUUCGGUGGAGGAUUUAAGCAUGGUUUCGGCCACGGUGGAUUCGGUGGAGGUUUUUACGGGUAAGAUGCCGCUGUGAAGAAACGCCGAAAACCCCUUGACGACCACAACACUGGAAAACGCUAAUCCUGGCCUCUGAAAUUUUCCUCACCAUUUCAUGUACAAUGAAAUUAAUAAAAAUUAUUUCCUACAUUUGGAUAUUUCA